RNAcentral lists this ribosomal RNA (253 nucleotides) under uncultured bacterium. RNAcentral's name for it is "partial 16S ribosomal RNA". It matches the Rfam family "Bacterial small subunit ribosomal RNA", at positions 524 to 776 of the family's 1533-position model. The record is from RNAcentral.
UACGUAGGGUGCAAGCGUUGUCCGGAAUUAUUGGGCGUAAAGAGCUCGUAGGCGGUCCGUCACGUCGGCUGUGAAAACCCGGGGCUCAACCCCGGGCCUGCAGUCGAUACGGGCGGACUAGAGUUCGGUAGGGGAGACUGGAAUUCCUGGUGUAGCGGUGAAAUGCGCAGAUAUCAGGAGGAACACCGGUGGCGAAGGCGGGUCUCUGGGCCGAUACUGACGCUGAGGAGCGAAAGCGUGGGGAGCGAACAGG